RNAcentral lists this ribosomal RNA (461 nucleotides) under uncultured bacterium. RNAcentral describes it as "partial 16S ribosomal RNA". It matches the Rfam family "Bacterial small subunit ribosomal RNA", at positions 338 to 795 of the family's 1533-position model. The record is from RNAcentral.
CCUAGGGGAGACAGCAGUGAGGAAUAUUGGUCAAUGGCCGAGAGGCUGAACCAGCCAAGUCGCGUGAGGGAAGAAGGCCCUACGGGUUGUAAACUUCUUUUGUCGGGGAGUAAAGCGAGUCACGUGUGACUCAUUGAGUGUACCCGAUGAAAAAGCAUCGGCUAACUCCGUGCCAGCAGCCGCGGUAAUACGGAGGGUGCGAGCGUUAUCCGGAUUUAAUGGGUUUAAAGGGUGCGUAGGCUGGGAGGUAAGUCAGCGGUGGAAUGCCCCCGCUCAACGGGGUGAAGUGCCGUUGAUACUGCCUUGCUGGAAUGCAGCUGCGGUAGGAGGAAUGUGUGGUGUAGCGGUGAAAUGCAUAGAUAUCACGCAGAACACCGAUUGCGAAGGCAGCUCACGGAUCCGCGAUUGACGCUGAUGCACGAAAGCGUGGGUAUCAAACAGGAUUAGAUACCCCUGUAGUC